UUGCCCUGGAUGCCGGCACCCUUUGACGAGAUGGUGAGCAGCGUGGUGACACCCAAGGUGACACGGGCGGGGAUGGCGUCUACGUCGAGCCAGAAAGACACCCACGAUAUCACCACGAUAAGCGUGGUCGGAAGCGAGCUGUGCUUCAUCGAGCUGUUGCCAGAAGAGAGAGAAAAGAAAUGGCCUCAUUCCCUGGUCGACUUAGAUAUGUGUUCUCCUCCGCUCAAUGGCGAUUUCUGCGUCGCUUUCACUGCGGUGAGCCCGGUGAAGCAGCUGAUAGGAAACGAAGAUUGAUGGUGGGACCAAUUCGGCCGUCAGUGCUUAACAGUGCCUGGAAUGCCACUAGUGGAAUCUAGUGGAAUAUACAUGUGGUGAAGAAGAAACGACCAAACACGUCCAAUGUAACUGCCCAAAACACGAAGACGAGACGAGAUGCUGGACCAGGACGAAUUCUUUCUUAACUGCGAAGUUUCCUUUCUGAGUAAUUCGUACGGGACUCCUAUAAAACAUUGUACUACA
Molecule: non-coding RNA, 519 nt
Organism: Dermacentor albipictus
Lineage: Eukaryota; Metazoa; Arthropoda; Arachnida; Ixodida; Ixodidae
Source: RefSeq, a predicted model, not a curated record